GGAGGCAGCAGUGGGGAAUCUUGCACAAUGGAGGAAACUCUGAUGAAGCGAUGCCGCGUGAGUGAAGAAGGCCCUUGGGUUGUAAAGCUCUUUCGUCGGGGAAGAAA
RNAcentral lists this ribosomal RNA (107 nucleotides) under uncultured bacterium. Its description in RNAcentral is "partial 16S ribosomal RNA". It matches the Rfam family "Bacterial small subunit ribosomal RNA", at positions 344 to 450 of the family's 1533-position model. The record is from RNAcentral.